AUUGAACGCUGGCGGCAGGCCUAACACAUGCAAGUCGAACGGUAACAGGAAGAAGCUUGCUUCUUUGCUGACGAGUGGCGGACGGGUGAGUAAUGUCUGGGAAACUGCCUGAUGGAGGGGGAUAACUACUGGAAACGGUAGCUAAUACCGCAUAACGUCGCAAGACCAAAGAGGGGUACCUUCGGGCCUCUUGCCAUCUGAUGUGCCCAGAUGGGAUUAGCUAGUAGGUGGGGUAACGGCUCACCUAGGCGACGAUCCCUAGCUGGUCUGAGAGGAUGACCAGCCACACUGGAACUGAGACACGGUCCAGACUCCUACGGGAGGCAGCAGUGGGGAAUAUUGCACAAUGGGCGCAAGCCUGAUGCAGCCAUGCCGCGUGUAUGAAGAAGGCCUUCGGGUUGUAAAGUACUUUCAGCGGGGAGGAAGGGAGUAAAGUUAAUACCUUUGCUCAUUGACGUUACCCGCAGAAGAAGCACCGGCUAACUCCGUG
RNAcentral lists this ribosomal RNA (490 nucleotides) under uncultured bacterium. RNAcentral describes it as "partial 16S ribosomal RNA". It matches the Rfam family "Bacterial small subunit ribosomal RNA", at positions 30 to 507 of the family's 1533-position model. The record is from RNAcentral.